This 267-nucleotide ribosomal RNA is filed under the name uncultured Cytophagales bacterium. Its description in RNAcentral is "partial 16S small subunit ribosomal RNA". It matches the Rfam family "Bacterial small subunit ribosomal RNA", at positions 1107 to 1373 of the family's 1533-position model. The record is from RNAcentral. Lineage: Bacteria; Pseudomonadati; Bacteroidota; Sphingobacteriia; Sphingobacteriales.
UAUUUUUGUUACCAGCGAGUCAUGUCGGGAACUCUAGAAAGACUGCCUGUGUAAACAGUACGGAAGGUGGGGAUGACGUCAAAUCAUCACGGCCCUUACGUCUUGGGCUACAUACGUGCUACAAUGGUAUCUACAACAGGAAGGCAUCUGGCAACAGAGAGCAAAUCCGUAAAGGUGAUCCCAGUUCGGAUCGGAGUCUGCAACUCGACUCCGUGAAGUUGGAUUCGCUAGUAAUCGUAUAUCAGCAAUGAUACGGUGAAUACGCUC